This 24-nucleotide non-coding RNA is filed under the name Arabidopsis thaliana (thale cress). Lineage: Eukaryota; Viridiplantae; Streptophyta; Magnoliopsida; Brassicales; Brassicaceae. The record is from RNAcentral.
AGUGGAUUAUCUUUCUUUCUUUUC